Molecule: small nucleolar RNA, 97 nt
Filed under: Leersia perrieri
Lineage: Eukaryota; Viridiplantae; Streptophyta; Magnoliopsida; Poales; Poaceae
Description: snoRNA snoR11
Rfam family: Small nucleolar RNA R11/Z151
About the family: snoR11/Z151 is a member of the C/D class of snoRNA which contain the C (UGAUGA) and D (CUGA) box motifs. Most of the members of the box C/D family function in directing site-specific 2'-O-methylation of substrate RNAs.
Source: Rfam by way of RNAcentral
GGGCUUGUGAUGAUUAAGGUCUGAAAGGAUCUUAGCGAAUUUCUGUGGCAAUUUUGUCGUCGUUGAUCGCUUAAUGUUGUUACAGACACGGAAUCCU